UUUUGAUAAAUCUCCCCCAUAGACUUCUUAUCAGUCAUUGCUCCUCCUUCCAAUCCCUAAAAGACUCCAUUGAGUUAAUUUCGACGUGCUAUGCCUCCUAUUCAACCACCCUUGUGGUCUUGUCUGGGAAACAUAGUGAAGUCACAGCUUAUUACUCCACUGAUCACACGUUUUAGCAUAGUCACAAAAAAGAGGAACUGACGUAAUAUUCGACUGACUCGUGGGAAAGUAAAAAUAUUUCGCUAAUUUUGUGACAUGCAAUGCCUCUGUGAAAUCCCAAUUCAAAAGGGACCAAGAACUGAAGUCCAGUUACACCCAGAAUCCUGCCUAACCAUUGUUUCUCUAUCUUAGGUUACUUUCUAUUUUAGCCAUGUUUGCUGAGAGAUUUGUGAAAUAGCAUGCUAUUAAAGGGGACCUUUCCAGAGUAUCUUUAUCCUGUUAUCUUUGCUUUGUAAACAGACACUGGCGGAUUAGCGGAUUAGGAAUUUAAAGUUGCCCUGGAAGAAAAAAUAUAAAAGGGGCCCCAAGUUGUAGGCAGGUCCGGCACAAGUAGGCAGGGUUGGCAAACCAUUUGCCAUAGCCAUAAUAAUAAAUGGGCUAAUACAAAACAGAGCUAAUGUACAAAUAAGCAAGAAAUGGUAUUGGUAGAUGAGGCAAAAGCAACAGAACAGUAGGUGAAGCAAACACACAAGAUUGGUGUGGGUGAGGAUGGUCAAGUGUAGCCAAGGCUUGAGGCAUCCUGGACAAACUGGGCACGGUCUCCUUAUUGCUCUCCUACCAUAUAUAGCAGCUGAUGGGGAGCGAAAGUAUCUCUGAAGUCAAAGUUCCACCUGUAGCUGCCGUCCUCUUG
Hyla sarda is the source of this 850-nucleotide long non-coding RNA. RefSeq lists it as uncharacterized. The record is from RefSeq and is a predicted model, not a curated record. The transcript has 3 exons. NCBI's taxonomy places the organism in Eukaryota, Metazoa, Chordata, Amphibia, Anura, Hylidae.